This 165-nucleotide ribosomal RNA is filed under the name uncultured Glomeromycotina. Its description in RNAcentral is "partial 18S ribosomal RNA". It matches the Rfam family "Eukaryotic small subunit ribosomal RNA", at positions 917 to 1078 of the family's 1831-position model. Lineage: Eukaryota; Fungi; Glomeromycota. The record is from RNAcentral.
UUCUUGGAUUUAUUGAAGACUAACUACUGCGAAAGCAUUUGCCAAGGAUGUUUUCACNANUCAAGAACGAAAGUUAGGGGAUCAAAGACGAUCAGAUACCGUCGUAGUCUUAACCAUAAACUAUGCCGACUAGGGAUCGGAUGAUGUUAAUUUUUUAAUGACUCA